UCUCCUGCUUAACACAUGUCUUAUUCUAUCAAUCCAUGAGACAUUAAACUCCAAAUAGGAUAGACUUGUCUUAUGAAACGUUCUUGAGAUCGUUCACUAACGUCGUUUCGCCGGAGGAUAUUGCGGCUAUUGGUUUGGGAGAUGUAGAGAGUGUUUGAGCAUUUCGAUUGUUGGUGGUGGUAGCCUGUAGAUAGGUGAAGGGCUACGCGUUCUCGGUUUGCAGCCUCGUGGCCGGUCGGCGACGAAAUAAACCGGCAAAGAGGGCCCACUCGUGCUUCUGUUCUAAUUUCAGCGAGAGAACAGGGGGCUUUUCUCAGCGUUUCCCUUUCUGUUCCACGGAUUUCUCGGCUGAUUGUGCGAGGAUGGCGGCGACGACGGUGGCCGGCGGAGCUCUAUUGGCGAGUUUGGAGUGGCGACGUGAUUAAGCAGAACAGCUGCUAUCCUGCUUUAACGGUUGCUGUUAAGAUAUGAUCGGAGAGGGAGCUUGGAGCUGGAAAAGGAGGGAGGGAUGGUGGUGUUCCAAGGUGAUGGCGCGAAUAGGCGAGGCGGCGGCGCGACGGGGGCGGCGCGCGGCUACUGCUCUCGUGUUCUGCUGACAGCAGCUGCUACGACUCCCAGCUCCUGCUGCUGCUCGGCUGCUGCUGUCUUGAAGGAGCUGCUGUUGUGCCGGCAAGAGGCGGCUGAUGGUGAUCGGCGAGUUCGACAGCAGCGGUGGAAGUUGGCGGCGGCGGCUGGAGCUUGGCGAUGGAGAGAGUUUGAGCGAGAGAGAGCUGAGCGAGAGUGAGAGAUAGAGGAACAAAAUAAAUUUGAAAGCAAGAAAAAAUCGAGAGAGA
Long non-coding RNA from Salvia miltiorrhiza (redroot sage), 833 nucleotides. RefSeq lists it as uncharacterized. NCBI's taxonomy places the organism in Eukaryota, Viridiplantae, Streptophyta, Magnoliopsida, Lamiales, Lamiaceae. The transcript is spliced from 2 exons. The record is from RefSeq and is a predicted model, not a curated record.